Molecule: long non-coding RNA, 999 nt
Organism: Lolium rigidum
Lineage: Eukaryota; Viridiplantae; Streptophyta; Magnoliopsida; Poales; Poaceae
Exons: 3
Source: RefSeq, a predicted model, not a curated record
GGCCUGCUGCACCACGACGUCGAGCUCAUCUGGAGCCCAUCGGCGGAACGGUGGCCCAUGGAAGUAGCGCCAUCUGUUCCUUGAGCUGCCGCCACACGCUGUCUUGUCGCUAGGAGGAGCGUGUCGGUACUCCACAUGAGGUGACAGCUGACGGUAAAGCCUAUUUUCUCUAAUACCCUGUUGGAUCUAGAUGAGUUCACGCAGCAUGAAUUGAAUUGAUUCACUGCUUACUUUUUGCUCAACUCGUUGGGAGAUUUCAAGGACAUGGAGGACAAGAAGCACAUGGCAGUCUACCUCGACUCUAGCGAAAACCUGCAUUACAUAGUUGUGUUCAUCUAAAGAUCGUGUUUAUAUAUCAUGAAAGAGCUUGAAAAAUCUAUGUUCUGUCUACUCUCGAUGAACUUAUUCUAUCAUGUUUUGAAGUACAAACAUUUGCAUUAUCCCAUUCCAGUUACUUGCCUUAAUUUGUUUUUUCUAUGUGUACUUCCUUUUACUCAAGAUUUCUUUAUAAUUAUUUUUGUCAUAUGCUCUACCUCAAGAAUUUCUUUUAGAUUUCUUUGUACCCAUUUCCAAUUCUAAAUGCAUUGUUUCAGGAUCGGAAGAGGAAGGUUUUUGUGCUGCAAUUCAAAUGGACAUCGAUCAGGUUCAGAAACAUACGCCUUACAUGACACACGGAUUACUGGAUUAGACAUAAACUGAAAUUAUUAUACUUGUCCUCGGCUCAUAUUUUUGUUUUUCAAGUGUAUCCCAGAUCGGAAGAGGAAGGUUUUUGCACUGCAAUUCAAAUGAACAUUGAUCAGGUUAGUAAUUGGGUUAUCAUUAUCAUUUAUCUCCGAAAUAUGUUUUUAUUUCUCAAGUUAGUUGAGCAUGUAUGAUGGGAAUUUUCUCCUUUUGUUCAUAAGUUCAGAAAAAUACGCCUUACAUGACACACGGAUUACUGGAUUAGACAUAAACUGAAAUUAUUAUACUUGUCCUCGGCUCAUAUUUUGUUUUUUCAAC